This 947-nucleotide long non-coding RNA is filed under the name Androctonus crassicauda. The record is from RNAcentral. Lineage: Eukaryota; Metazoa; Arthropoda; Arachnida; Scorpiones; Buthidae.
GUCAAAACGAACAACGAGGCCAACCUCCCGACGAACUCCUCAACUGCAGGCACGUAUUUUUUUCCUUUUUUUUCCCCCUUUUUUUUUCACACUUUACAAAGUUGGAACUUUGAUCUUAUCUAUUGAGUAAACUGCAGGUAUAGAUGAAGUAAUGCCAAUUCAUGCCCCAGUGGCAACUAUGAUUAAUCUGUGUUAUGAACCUUUAUAGUGCUUUUAGAUGGAGCAGAGCUAUUGCCCUUUGCUACAUAUGUCUGACUGAGAUUGAAUUAUGGGUUGAGCUGAGUUUCAGGUUAAUGUCCCAAUGCCUUAAUCAAUUAGAUUACCACAACAACUGGCAGAUUUUCAUUUCAGGAAGCUUAUAUUUCAAAGUUUUCAUGCUUUUUAAAGAUUGUCUUUGUUUGCAUUUAUCCUUCCCUCUAAUUAGGAUUACUGCCGUUUGAAUUCCCAGUCUGUAAAUAGGGUAGAAUCCCAAAUGCUAGCAAUAGCUUUUGAUUCAUAUGUAAAACAGUUUGAAAAGAUCUGAUCAAAUUAUAGGAAGUGAAGAUUUUAUAUUUACAUAUUGAUAAAAUUUGAAAAUUUAUUGAAAAUUAAAAAUUAACCUUGAAAAAAAGUUAAAUAGAAACUACAAAACCCCAUAACAUAAAGCAUCGAUGUUAGAUUGACUGGCAUAUGUCAAUAUAAUUUUGAUAUCUUAUGCUAUGGGUAAAAAAGAUAGUAAAAAGAAGACUUGAAGAUAAAUAAGAUGUUUUAAGGUUUUAAUUUAUAUAGUGUGUUAUUCUUAUUUUAAUAUUUUUAAUCAUAAAUAAAAUUUUAAAGUUAAUUAUUAAAAAUCUUAACCUGAUAGUAAAAAAUGUAAUUUUAAACAAAUUAUUUCAUCUAUUGGCCAAAAGAAAACAAUUUUUUUUUUUUAAUUAUUUACAGUUGUUGAAAUAUUCUCAAAAUUUAUA